Molecule: ribosomal RNA, 484 nt
Filed under: uncultured bacterium
Lineage: Bacteria
Description: partial 16S ribosomal RNA
Rfam family: Bacterial small subunit ribosomal RNA
Source: RNAcentral
AUUGAACGCUGGCGGCAGGCCUAACACAUGCAAGUCGAGCGGAUGAAGGGAGCUUGCUCCUGGAUUCAGCGGCGGACGGGUGAGUAAUGCCUAGGAAUCUGCCUGGUAGUGGGGGAUUACGUCCGGAAACGGGCGCUAAUACCGCAUACGUCCUGAGGGAGAAAGUGGGGGAUCUUCGGACCUCACGCUAUCAGAUGAGCCUAGGUCGGAUUAGCUAGUUGGUGGGGUAAAGGCCUACCAAGGCGACGAUCCGUAACUGGUCUGAGUGGAUGACCAGUCACACUGGAACUGAGACACGGUCCAGACUCCUACGGGAGGCAGCAGUAGGGAAUAUUGGACCAUGGGCGAAAGCCUGAUGCAGCCAUGCCGCGUGUGUGAAGAAGGUCUUCGGAUUGUAAAGCACUUUAAGUUGGGAGGAAGGACAGUAAGUUAAUACCUGGCUGUUUUGACGGUACCUACAGAAUAAGCACCGGCUAACUUCGUG